This 433-nucleotide ribosomal RNA is filed under the name uncultured bacterium. RNAcentral's name for it is "partial 16S ribosomal RNA". It matches the Rfam family "Bacterial small subunit ribosomal RNA", at positions 29 to 507 of the family's 1533-position model. The record is from RNAcentral.
AACGAACGCUGGCGGCAUGCCUAACACAUGCAAGUCGAACGAGACCUUCGGGUCUAGUGGCGCACGGGUGCGUAACGCGUGGGAACCUGCCUUUAGGUUCGGCAUAACUCAGAGAAAUUUGAGCUAAUACCGGAUGAUGUCUUCGGACCAAAGAUUUAUCGCCUUUAGUUGGGCCCGCGUUGGAUUAGUGAGUUGGUGGGGUAAAGGCCUACCAAGGCGACGAUCCAUAGCUGGUUUGUGAGGAUGAUCAGCCACACUGGGACUGAGACACGGCCCAGACUCCUACGAGAGGCAGCAGUGGGUGAUAUAGGACCAUGGGCGAAAGCCUGAUCCAGCAAGGCCGGGAGAGUGAUGAAGGCCUUGGGGUUGUAAAGCUCUUUUACCCGAGAUGAUAAUGACGGUACCGGGAGAAUAAGCUCCGGCUAACUCCGUG